AGUGAACGCUGGCGGUAGGCCUAACACAUGCAAGUCGAACGGCAGCACAGUAAGAGCUUGCUCUUACGGGUGGCGAGUGGCGGACGGGUGAGGAAUACAUCGGAAUCUACUUUUUCGUGGGGGAUAUCGUAGGGAAACUUACGCUAAUACCGCAUACGACCUACGGGUGAAAGCAGGGGAUCUUCGGACCUUGCGCGAUUGAAUGAGCCGAUGUCGGAUUAGCUAGUUGGCGGGGUAAAGGCCCACCAAGGCGACGAUCCGUAGCUGGUCUGAGAGGAUGAUCGGCCACACUGGAACUGAGACACGGUCCAGACUCCUACGGGAGGCAGCAGUGGGGAAUAUUGGACAAUGGGCGCAAGCCUGAUCCAGCCAUACCGCGUGGGUGAAGAAGGCCUUCGGGUUGUAAAGCCCUUUUGUCGGGAAAGAAAAGCAGCAGGUUAAUACCCCGCUGUUCUGACGGUACCCAAAGAAUAAGCACCGGCUAACUUCGUG
Molecule: ribosomal RNA, 492 nt
Filed under: uncultured bacterium
Lineage: Bacteria
Description: partial 16S ribosomal RNA
Rfam family: Bacterial small subunit ribosomal RNA
Source: RNAcentral